UGUUCACGCCCUCCCCCCAGUUGAUAAGUGUCUGUGACAGGAGCCAGGAAGAGAACAGAGCUCCAGAGUUUCGGCUAGGGAGGGAUUCAGGCAGCUUAUUCACCCGCCCUCUUGGCAAGCAUCUGCAAAGUCAGUCUGGAGGAGAACAGAGCUGCACAGUUCCAGGCAUGGAGGGAUGCACGCAGCUUAUUCACUUGCCCUCUUGGGGCCAGGAAAACAGAGCACCAGAGCUCCUGUCAUGGAGGGAUUUAGGGAGCUUAUUCACCCACCAUUUGGUAAACAUCUGCAAAGCCGCCCAGGAAGAGAACAGAGCUCCAAGCUCCUGCCAUGGAGGGAUUCAGGCAGAUUAUUCACUCCGCCCCUUGGGAAGGCUCUGCAACAUGGGCCAGGAAGAGUAUGGAGCUCCACAGUUCUGGCUACGGAGGGAUUUAGGCAGCUUAUUCACCCACCCUCUUGGUAAGUGUCUGUAACAAGGGCCAGGAAGAGAACAGAGCUCCAGAGUUACAGCCACGGAGAGAUUCAGGCAGCUUAGAAGAGAACAGAGCUCCAGAGUUCUGGCCAUGGAGGGAUUCAGGCAGAUUAUUACCACCCCCCCACCCCGUAACUGUCUGUAACAGGGGCCAGGAAGAGAACAUAGCUCCAGAGCUCCUGUCAUGGAGGGAUUCAGGAAGCAUAUUCACCCCCUCUCUUGGUAAGUGUCUGUAACUUGGGCCAGGAGGAGAACAGAGCUCCAGAGUUCCGCCCAUGGAGUGAUUCAAGCAGCUUAUUCACCCACCUUCUUUGUAAGUGUCUGCAAAGCCAGCCAGGAAGAGAACAGAGAUCCAGAGCUCCUGCCAUGGAGGGAUUCAGGCAGCUCAUUCACCUGCCCUCUUGGUAAGCAUCUGCAAUGCCAUCCAGGAAGAGAACAUCCUGCCAUGUAGGAAUUCAAGCAGAUUAUCUGCAAUGCGGGCCAGGAGGAGGACAGAGCUCCAGAUUUCCAGCCAUGGAGGGAUUCAGGCAGCUUAUUCACCACCCCCCCCCCUUUGUAAGCAUCUGCAAUGCAGGCCAGGAGGAGAACAGAGCUUCAGAGAUCCAGCAAUGGAAGGACUCAGGCAGCUUAUUCACCGCCUUCUUGGUAAGCACCUGCAGCUUGGGCCUGGAGAAGAACCAUUACCUGUGUGCCAACUUCCGCGCAAGCUGAAAAUCAAAUACCCUUCUCCCACCUGCCCUCUACCCCCUUACCUACUGGGGAUAGAUAUUUCAACAUCUCUUGCCAGGAUUACCAUAUACAGUAUAGCAAAUAUGGGGGAUUUCCUUCUAUCUUUUGUUUGAAGGCAUAGGUUUUUUUUUCACUUUUUGUUAUAUUUCUUUUGCUCUAUUCAGUAUUCUGAAUUGAUUUUACAAUGUUCUAUUUUUGGUUUGAUUUUACAAUACUUAAUUGACUGGAUAGCUAUUGUUAAAUUAAAGAGAUAUACCAUAGUACUUAGUACUAUCCCAGUAUCCUACUGUGAAAUCCUGUACCAAUUUCACUGCAUUGUCUCGAUUGGCUUUGUUCUGUCUUGCGCUGUUGCUACUUUCAAAAUUUUGCUACUUUCAAAAUUUUAAAAAAAUACAUGUUAAGACCCAUCCAUGUGUAAAAUCUAUAAACAGUUUAUGAGUACUGAUCUUAUGACAAUUGAUGAAAUGAACACAUACUUUGAAGAAAAGGAGACACUAAAAUAGCCAGUGCUGAUCCUGGGGUGCAUAAUGUGAAACCCAGCAAUAGUGUUAUUCUUUGUUCAGAGUGAUAUUAGCCUGCUUGGGUUUAUUCAAAGUCAACAUAAUUGAAGAUAUGGGUAACUGCAUAUAUGUUUAAGUGUAGAGGAUUGAUAGCCAUAUUUCUAAGUUUUUGUUGGAUAGUUGAACAGAACUAGUUACAAUCUCACUGUUUGAAUUCCCACUUUAUAUGCUCCAAUUUAGUAUCUUAAAUAACUAUUUGUAAGAAGACAAUCUGUAAUCAUCAACUAGUGAUUUCUUACUGUUUAUUUUUCUUUGAAAUUAUGUAUUAUUUCUACCCGUUUUUUGUUUUUUUAGUCUUUCUUUAAAUUCAGUUUUAAAAAGAAGACACUACAGUACCCAGUGCUGAUCAUGGAGUGUCAUGAAGUAAAAUCCAGCAAUACUAUUAUUCUUUGUUCAAAAUGAUUUUAACCUGCUUUAGGUUGUUUAAUCUAAACAUAAAUGAAGAUAUGGGUAACUGCAUGUAUGUUUACAUGUAUAAGAUUGAAACCAUGUUACUAAGUUUUUGUUGGACAGUUGAUUAGAACUUUUUUCAGUCUCUGUUUGAAUUCCCACUUUACAUGUUCCAUUUUUGUACCUUGAACAGCUAUUUGUAAAACGACAUCAACUAGUGAUUUCUUACCCUUUUUUUCUCUGAAUGUAUGUACUAUUUCUACCUAUUUUGUUUUGUUUAAUAUUUCUUGAAAUAAAAAAAAUUUAUUCUUUUCCA
Long non-coding RNA from Cavia porcellus (domestic guinea pig), 2464 nucleotides. RefSeq lists it as uncharacterized. NCBI's taxonomy places the organism in Eukaryota, Metazoa, Chordata, Mammalia, Rodentia, Caviidae. The transcript is spliced from 2 exons. The record is from RefSeq and is a predicted model, not a curated record.